AAUAAAGAUGGGCCCGCGGCGCCAUAGCGUAGGUGGGUGAGGUAAUGGCUCCCCAAGGCGACGAUGCGGUAGCGGACUGAGAGGGGUGAUCGGCCCACACUGGACUGAGAACGCCAGACUCUACGGGAGGCAGCAGUAGGGAUCUCGCAUGACGAAGUCUGACGGAGCACGCGCGGGGACGAGAGCUCGGGUCGUAAGUCGUGUAGGGAGACAAGUACCAGAGGUACUGCUGGUACCUUGACGGUACCUACCAGAAAGCCACGGCUAACUACGUGCCAGCAGCCGCGGUAAUACGUAGGUGGCAAGCGUGUCCGGAAUUAUUGGGCGUAAAGCGCGCGCAGGUGGUUCCUUAAGUCUGAUGUGAAAGCCCACGGCUCAACCGUGGAGGGUCAUUGGAAACUGGGGAACUUGAGUGCAGAAGAGGAAAGUGGAAUUCCAAGUGUAGCGGUGAAAUGCGUAGAGAUUUGGAGGAACACCAGUGGCGAAGGCGACUUUCUGGUCUGUAACUGACACUGAGGCGCGAAAGCGUGGGGAGCAAACAGGAUUAGAUACCCUGGUAGUCCACGCCGUAAACGAUGAGUGCUAAGUGUUAGAGGGUUUCCGCCCUUUAGUGCUGCAGCUAACGCAUUAAGCACUCCGCCUGGGGAGUACGGCCGCAAGGCUGAAACUCAAAGGAAUUGACGGGGGCCCGCACAAGCGGUGGAGCAUGUGGUUUAAUUCGAAGCAACGCGAAGAACCUUACCAGGUCUUGACAUCCUCUGACAACCCUAGAGAUAGGGCUUUCCCCUUCGGGGGACAGAGUGACAGGUGGUGCAUGGUUGUCGUCAGCUCGUGUCGUGAGAUGUUGGGUUAAGUCCCGCAACGAGCGCAACCCUUGAUCUUAGUUGCCAGCAUUCAGUUGGGCACUCUAAGGUGACUGCCGGUGACAAACCGGAGGAAGGUGGGGAUGACGUCAAAUCAUCAUGCCCCUUAUGACCUGGGCUACACACGUGCUACAAUGGAUGGUACAAAGGGCUGCAAACCUGCGAAGGUAAGCGAAUCCCAUAAAGCCAUUCUCAGUUCGGAUUGCAGGCUGCAACUCGCCUGCAUGAAGCCGGAAUCGCUAGUAAUCGCGGAUCAGCAUGCGCAGUAUCGAACAA
RNAcentral lists this ribosomal RNA (1139 nucleotides) under uncultured bacterium. Its description in RNAcentral is "bacterial SSU rRNA". It matches the Rfam family "Bacterial small subunit ribosomal RNA", at positions 218 to 1369 of the family's 1533-position model. The record is from RNAcentral.